AGCUUUCUAAAUUCGUACAGAGAUUUCGUCAAAUACCAACCCAUUAGGGCUGAUCAGACUUUCAAGACAAGUGAAGUU
RNAcentral lists this microRNA precursor (78 nucleotides) under Schistosoma mattheei. RNAcentral describes it as "mir-3492 microRNA precursor family". It matches the Rfam family "mir-3492 microRNA precursor family". Lineage: Eukaryota; Metazoa; Platyhelminthes; Trematoda; Strigeidida; Schistosomatidae. The record is from Rfam by way of RNAcentral.